GAUGAACGCUGGCGGCGUGCCUAAUACAUACAAGUCGAGCGAACGGACGAGAAGCUUGCUUCUCUGAUGUUAGCGGCGGACGGGUGAGUAACACGUGGAUAACCUACCUAUAAGACUGGGAUAACUUCGGGAAACCGGAGCUAAUACCGGAUAAUAUUUUGAACCGCAUGGUUCAAAAGUGAAAGACGGUCUUGCUGCCACUUAUAGAUGGAUCCGCGCUGCAUUAGCUAGUUGGUAAGGUAACGGCUUACCAAGGCAACGAUGCAUAGCCGACCUGAGAGGGUGAUCGGCCACACUGGAACUGAGACACGGUCCAGACUCCUACGGGAGGCAGCAGUAGGGAAUCUUCCGCAAUGGGCGAAAGCCUGACGGAGCAACGCCGCGUGAGUGAUGAAGGUCUUCGGAUCGUAAAACUCUGUUAUUAGGGAAGAACAUAUGUGUAAGUAACUGUGCACAUCUUGACGGUACCUAAUCAGAAAGCCACGGCUAACUACGUG
RNAcentral lists this ribosomal RNA (497 nucleotides) under uncultured bacterium. RNAcentral's name for it is "partial 16S ribosomal RNA". It matches the Rfam family "Bacterial small subunit ribosomal RNA", at positions 28 to 507 of the family's 1533-position model. The record is from RNAcentral.